GACGAACGCUGGCGGCGCGCCUAACACAUGCAAGUCGAACGAGAGAGAGGGAGCUUGCUUCCUCAAUCGAGUGGCGAACGGGUGAGUAACGCGUGAGGAACCUGCCUCAAAGAGGGGGACAACAGUUGGAAACGACUGCUAAUACCGCAUAAGCCCACAGCUCGGCAUCGAGCAGAGGGAAAAGGAGCAAUCCGCUUUGAGAUGGCCUCGCGUCCGAUUAGCUAGUUGGCAGGGCAACGGCCUACCAAGGCGACGAUCAGUAGCCGACCUGAGAGGGUGACCGGCCACAUUGGGACUGAGACACGGCCCAAACUCCUACGGGAGGCAGCAGUGGGGAAUAUUGCACAAUGGGCGAAAGCCUGAUGCAGCGACGCCGCGUGAGCGAAGAAGUAUUUCGGUAUGUAAAAGCUCUAUCAGCAGGGAAGAUAAUGACGGUACCUGACUAAGAAGCACCGGCUAAAUACGUGCCAGCAGCC
Molecule: ribosomal RNA, 476 nt
Filed under: uncultured bacterium
Lineage: Bacteria
Description: bacterial SSU rRNA
Rfam family: Bacterial small subunit ribosomal RNA
Source: RNAcentral